UUACCCCAAGUGAAGUGAAAAUACCCG
Molecule: ribosomal RNA, 27 nt
Filed under: Helosis brasiliensis
Lineage: Eukaryota; Viridiplantae; Streptophyta; Magnoliopsida; Santalales; Balanophoraceae
Description: partial 26S ribosomal RNA
Source: RNAcentral